CAUCUACUCCCUCCGUCCGAAAAUACUUGUCAUUGAAAUUGAUAUAUCUAGAUGUAUUUUAGUUCUAGAUACAUCCAUUUUCAUCGAUUUUGAUGACAAGUAUUUCCGGACGGAGGGUAUGCGAG
Molecule: non-coding RNA, 125 nt
Organism: Triticum aestivum (bread wheat)
Lineage: Eukaryota; Viridiplantae; Streptophyta; Magnoliopsida; Poales; Poaceae
Source: Rfam